RNAcentral lists this ribosomal RNA (516 nucleotides) under uncultured bacterium. RNAcentral's name for it is "bacterial SSU rRNA". It matches the Rfam family "Bacterial small subunit ribosomal RNA", at positions 27 to 525 of the family's 1533-position model. The record is from RNAcentral.
GGAUGAACGCCGGCGGCGUGCCUAAUACAUGCAAGUCGAGCGAACAGAUAAGGAGCUUGCUCCUUUGACGUUAGCGGCGGACGGGUGAGUAACACGUGGGUAACCUACCUAUAAGACUGGAAUAACUCCGGGAAACCGGGGCUAAUGCCGGAUAAUAUUUAGAACCGCAUGGUUCUAAAGUGAAAGAUGGUUUUACUAUCACUUAUAGAUGGACCCGCGCCGUAUUAGCUAGUUGGUGGGGUAAUGGCUUACCAAGGCAACGAUACGUAGCCGACCUGAGAGGGUGAUCGGCCACACUGGAACUGAGACACGGUCCAGACUCCUACGGGAGGCAGCAGUAGGGAAUCUUCCGCAAUGGGCGAAAGCCUGACGGAGCAACGCCGCGUGAGUGAUGAAGGUCUUCGGAUCGUAAAACUCUGUUAUUAGGGAAGAACAAAUGUGUAAGUAACUGUGCACGUCUUGACGGUACCUAAUCAGAAAGCCACGGCUAACUACGUGCCAGCAGCCGCGGUAAUA